This 1532-nucleotide ribosomal RNA is filed under the name Escherichia coli. RNAcentral describes it as "bacterial SSU rRNA". It matches the Rfam family "Bacterial small subunit ribosomal RNA". The record is from RNAcentral. Lineage: Bacteria; Pseudomonadati; Pseudomonadota; Gammaproteobacteria; Enterobacterales; Enterobacteriaceae.
AGAGUUUGAUCAUGGCUCAGAUUGAACGCUGGCGGCAGGCCUAACACAUGCAAGUCGAACGGUAACAGGAAACAGCUUGCUGUUUCGCUGACGAGUGGCGGACGGGUGAGUAAUGUCUGGGAAACUGCCUGAUGGAGGGGGAUAACUACUGGAAACGGUAGCUAAUACCGCAUAACGUCGCAAGACCAAAGAGGGGGACCCUCGGGCCUCUUGCCAUCGGAUGUGCCCAGAUGGGAUUAGCUUGUUGGUGGGGUAACGGCUCACCAAGGCGACGAUCCCUAGCUGGUCUGAGAGGAUGACCAGCCACACUGGAACUGAGACACGGUCCAGACUCCUACGGGAGGCAGCAGUGGGGGAAUAUUGCACAAUGGGCGCAAGCCUGAUGCAGCCAUGCCGCGUGUAUGAAGAAGGCCUUCGGGUUGUAAAGUACUUUCAGCGGGGAGGAAGGGAGUAAAGUUAAUACCUUUGCUCAUUGACGUUACCCGCAGAAGAAGCACCGGCUAACUCCGUGCCAGCAGCCGCGGUAAUACGGAGGGUGCAAGCGUUAAUCGGAAUUACUGGGCGUAAAGCGCACGCAGGCGGUUUGUUAAGUCAGAUGUGAAAUCCCCGGGCUCAACCUGGGAACUGCAUCUGAUACUGGCAAGCUUGAGUCUCGUAGAGGGGGGGUAGAAUUCCAGGUGUAGCGGUGAAAUGCGUAGAGAUCUGGAGGAAUACCGAUGGCGAAGGCGGCCCCCUGGACGAAGACUGACGCUCAGGUGCGAAAGCGUGGGGAGCAAACAGGAUUAGAUACCCUGGUAGUCCACGCCGUAAACGAUGUCGACUUGGAGGUUGUGCCCUUGAGGCGUGGCUUCCGGAGCUAACGCGUUAAGUCGACCGCCUGGGGAGUACGGCCGCAAGGUUAAAACUCAAAUGAAUUGACGGGGGCCCGCACAAGCGGUGGAGCAUGUGGUUUAAUUCGAUGCAACGCGAAGAACCUUACCUGGUCUUGACAUCCACGGAAGUUUUCAGAGAUGAGAAUGUGCCUUCGGGAACCGUGAGACAGGUGCUGCAUGGCUGUCGUCAGCUCGUGUUGUGAAAUGUUGGGUUAAGUCCCGCAACGAGCGCAACCCUUAUCCUUUGUUGCCAGCGGUCCGGCCGGGAACUCAAAGGAGACUGCCAGUGAUAAACUGGAGGAAGGUGGGGAUGACGUCAAGUCAUCAUGGCCCUUACGACCAGGGCUACACACGUGCUACAAUGGCGCAUACAAAGAGAAGCGACCUCGCGAGAGCAAGCGGACCUCAUAAAGUGCGUCGUAGUCCGGAUUGGAGUCUGCAACUCGACUCCAUGAAGUCGGAAUCGCUAGUAAUCGUGGAUCAGAAUGCCACGGUGAAUACGUUCCCGGGCCUUGUACACACCGCCCGUCACACCAUGGGAGUGGGUUGCAAAAGAAGUAGGUAGCUUAACCUUCGGGAGGGCGCUUACCACUUUGUGAUUCAUGACUGGGGUGAAGUCGUAACAAGGUAACCGUAGGGGAACCUGCGGUUGGAUCACCU